AGUGCAUAUAUCGCUUUUUUCUUUCAAUAAAAAAUUUUUUAGCUGCACCCUUUGUGCUGCUCAAGAUCAAUUGUCACUGCAAAUUACUUUGUAGGUGAGAUAUGAAACCGCUAAUUGAUGUUUUCUGUCUUUCCAUCCUUACUGGCAAUAUAUGAAAAAGACAUGUAAAUCCUUUUGAGUUGCGUCUGAUUUCCCCCUCUCUUCCCCAGUAAGCAUGAGUAACAUCACUGCUGCUUAACUCCAAAUACAAUGCAUAACAUUGAGCCAUCUUUUCAUUUCCUUAUAUUAUGAAAUUCUAUUCAUCCUAUGGUAAGAAGCCUUCAACAUGAGCAUCAAGGUCCAAAGUGUUUGCGUACAAAGCCUAGUUGAGGGCCAAACUAGAGAAAUUGUAAACUUCCCUAGUAAAAUAUGAAACACGUCCAAACGAAGAAAAAUUACCAGUUGAAGGAUAGUGUGCAGUGAAAGUUGAUAUAUUAGAGGUUUCAUUGUUUUCAAGAUGGAAAGUUUCAUACUACUAAAAAGGUGGGGAGAAGUCUUUAUAUUGCUGUAUUGGAAGUGCCUAUGGUCCUUAUUUUAUUAGAAGUGCUCCCUAUUUCCCCAUAUGAAGGUUGUAGCUGUCUUUGGGCAUGGGGGAAAGUGAAAGAUAAGUAAAGAAAAACCUUCAGCCCUAUGGGAAAAUACCUGUUGCGGACCUCAAACUUGAAUCAUCUACAAUUAGUUAGUAGCAGAAUAAAAAUAACUUAAAAUAGAACUUCACACGAUGCUUCCUCUUAUAGAUGUAUACUAUUCUCUAUUUCUGAACUUUUCCUCCAUUGAUUAUAGUCAAGCAUUUGAUGUGAUUCAUUUUCUAUAUUCUAGAACAUA
Molecule: unclassified non-coding RNA, 864 nt
Filed under: Hevea brasiliensis (rubber tree)
Lineage: Eukaryota; Viridiplantae; Streptophyta; Magnoliopsida; Malpighiales; Euphorbiaceae
Source: RNAcentral